GUGCUCGCUGUGGCAGCACGUACACUGACAUCGUAACGGGACAGAGAAGAUUAGCAUGGCCCCUGCGCAAGGAUGACCCGCAAAUUCGUGAAGCGGUCAGAGAACAA
Pteropus vampyrus (large flying fox) is the source of this 107-nucleotide small nuclear RNA. NCBI's taxonomy places the organism in Eukaryota, Metazoa, Chordata, Mammalia, Chiroptera, Pteropodidae. The record is from Ensembl.